This 492-nucleotide ribosomal RNA is filed under the name uncultured bacterium. Its description in RNAcentral is "partial 16S ribosomal RNA". It matches the Rfam family "Bacterial small subunit ribosomal RNA", at positions 29 to 507 of the family's 1533-position model. The record is from RNAcentral.
AGUGAACGCUGGCGGUAGGCCUAACACAUGCAAGUCGAACGGCAGCACAGUAAGAGCUUGCUCUUACGGGUGGCGAGUGGCGGACGGGUGAGGAAUACAUCGGAAUCUACUUUUUCGUGGGGGAUAACGUAGGGAAACUUACGCUAAUACCGCAUACGACCUACGGGUGAAAGCAGGGGAUCUUCGGACCUUGCGCGAUUGAAUGAGCCGAUGUCGGAUUAGCUAGUUGGCGGGGUAAAGGCCCACCAAGGCGACGAUCCGUAGCUGGUCUGAGAGGAUGAUCAGCCACACUGGAACUGAGACACGGUCCAGACUCCUACGGGAGGCAGCAGUGGGGAAUAUUGGACAAUGGGCGCAAGCCUGAUCCAGCCAUACCGCGUGGGUGAAGAAGGCCUUCGGGUUGUAAAGCCCUUUUGUUGGGAAAGAAAAGCAGCAGAUUAAUCCACCGAUGUUCUGACGGUACCCAAAGAAUAAGCACCGGCUAACUUCGUG